GCGUCCGCGCGCUCGCUCGUGGCGACAUAAACAAGGGAGGAGGCUGCGUUCUUCCCCGCACAAUAAAGGCGCGGGUCCGGGGGAGGCCGCCCUCCCGGAGCCGCCGAGGCAAGGCCCGACCGCGGCCCGCGAAGCGCGCGGCUGACCUCCGCCAUGUUGGCCGUACACCGGGCCACACAACAAAGACUGAGCGAGGGCGCGGGCCGUAGUCUCGGCGCGCCCGCCCGCCCUCCGCCUCCCGGAGCCGCCGCUGUCGGCUGGGCCCGCCCGGAGAGGCCGAGACAAAGGCGCCGCGGCUCCGCGAGGGGACCCGCCGGCCCUCCCCGGGCCGCGGCCAGCUCCUCCCUCCAGGCCGCCCGCUUACCUGUGGGCGGAGAGCGCGCCGCGGACCCCGGCCCCGUCUAACGCGCCCGGUCGCCAGCUGCCGCCGCCGCCACCGCCACCGCCACCGUCACCGCCGCCACCGCGGGCCGCGCCUCCACCUCUCCCGGCACCGAGACCGACGGGACACCCUGGGCCGCCGCCCUCGAGAGCGCGCCCGCCCGGCAGCCCGGCUUCCCUGCCGCCGCCGCCGCCGCCCCGCGCGCUCUCGAGCUCGCCGCGCGCGCCCGCUAAGUACCACACACUGCGGCGGCCGCCAUGAGCGGGAGCGCGCACCGAACCCGGCUGGGCGGGGCUUCCCACGGCCACGCACGCGCAGAAGCGGCUGGCGGCUGCUGCCCGCACUCGGUGGCGGUUGGCGUCGAGACGCUUCGGUUACCGGAGCAGCGUCCCGAGCAUCCCCACGAGGCGGCUGCGCUGUCUCGGGCCGUUACUGUGGGAUUGACUGGGUUCGCGCCGUCCUCUCUCCGGGUCCGCGGUCUGUAGCGGCCUCCACGACCCCACUCCUGGAGGAGAAGAGGGCCGCGCCUCCCGGUAGGCUCGUUGAAAGCUGGCCAGUAAGAAGCACGCCUUUAAGUCCACUUUCCCACUCAUCUGGGAAGCUGAUGUUGGGGACUGUCCACCCUGCUGCUUUAGGUUAAAAAACGGAGCCGUGCACUAGGCAAGCAGAAGCAGGAUCUUCACAAGUUUGGGGCCAGUCUGGUUUAUACAGAGUUUUCUGGGACUUCCCGGGGAGACCUUUUAUCCAAAAUAAAUGAAGACCUCAUCUCAAGGGUUACGGGUGCUUUCGUGAGGAGUGGUUGCCUGGGCUGAGACUCAGUCCCCAGUUGCGAGUGAAGGGGUAGAAACCUUUAGAUUUGAUUCUGGGGUGUGGGAUUGUGUGGAGGUCAGAGGACGAGUUGCGAGUGCUGGGGGUGGAGCGCAAGUGGCCAGCCUUGGUGGCAGGGCCUCUGCUGAGCCAUCUCGCAGAGUCCCCGUUAGUCUUUCCAUGGAUGCCUCUGUCUGACUAGGUUAACCGAAUGUAAGGCGUUUACAAAUCCUGAGCAGAUUUUCAGGGAAGAACUGUAGAAAUGCAAUGCUGUGAGAAAAGUACUUUUUCUAUGGGGUUUCAAGAAAGGAAGAAAAGUCUCCUCUCAGCCUUCCAUCAGCACAAACUCCGCCCUCUUCCAGAACUCAAAUUUGUUCUCAAUGAAUGUUCAGCUUUCCUCAAUGUAUUUGUAAUCUGUGCUUGUGUUGAUAUUUCUAUUCUCGAUCUAGUAUCUCACUGUAGCCCUUCCUCUGAGACCAUUAGCACAACCAAACAGUUGAGAAUGUAAAUUAAUUAAGUUAAAAGCACCAUAUACUACAAAUCUGUUGGUCCCCAAAGCUCAACAGCCAGAUAAGGAGCUUGCAUUAUGUAGGUUCAUGAAGAUUGUCGAUAUUAGUGGUGUUCUUGUUCAUUUAAAAUACUUGAUUUACAUAGGGAGUCUAAGAUAACCCAUCAUAAACUCUGCUUUGUCAUGAAACUUACCAAGUAGGAAGUCAUACAUUCACUCUCAUAUUCGUUGGACAAAUGAUAAUUAUCAACUAGUCCUGAGAAUACUAAAUCAUCAACUAGUCCUGAGGAUAUUAAUCAUCAACUAGUCCUGAGAAACUAAGCUAGGCACUUAAGUAUUAUCUAGCAGGAGACACAAAUAUAAACUUACUGCUACCACUGUGAGAGAAAAAAUUCCCAAAACAAGUGCCUGGUACUAAUGAAAUAUCUAACUCAAGUGUGUGAGAACACAGGUGUCUACCACAAAACCAAAAGACAAGAAGCAAUUAACAAGAUUGGGGGAAGGCUGUAAAAGGUAGAGACAUUAAGGAAGUAGAAAAACAAUUCUGAAGAUAACCUGUGACUGUCCACUUCUCCACUAUUGGUUUUUUUCUUAGUGGGUGAGCUGAGGAGGAGAGGGUGUGAGGUCUCUGGGUGCUUAGAGGCCUAUGGAGUUCAGAGAAAGCUAUGCUUUGAGGACCAAGGCACUCUAGUGCUUUUCCUAAGGGACAAUAUUUCUCAUCCUGUUGACACCAAAAAAAGAAUUCACGGAGGCUUUGAAGUUUGAAGUGGGCUGUGGUUAAAGGGUGAGAGUUUUACCUGUGGAGAGGGAAAGGUUUUCUAAGCAAAGGCAAUCUGUGGUGUAAGACUCAAUCUCAAGUGAGAGUGGUAAGAAAUCUUUAAAACCCAAAGUCAAUACGAAUGCUAUGUACAAGCCUGAAUGCGGAUGGAGGGAAGGACAAAGCAGAUAGGGAGAAAGCCCCGGAGAACACUUGUGUUCAGGCAAAAUGAAAGCCUAACCCAGGAGGCAGCCAUGGAAAUGGAGAAGGGAUCUUAGUUGAUCUGGGAUGGUUAAUUGAAAAUAGGAUCAAAUGCUACUUUUAAGCACCUCAAUGCCAAAUCACGCAUUACCUCAUCAGUCUCUGCAAAAAUUCCAUGAAAUGAGCAAACAAAAAACUGACCGGGCGUGGUGGUGCACGCCUUUAGUUCCAGCACUCUAGAGGCAGAAGCAGGCAGAUCUCUGAGAGUUCGAAGCCAACGUGUUCUACAGUGAGUCCAAGACAGCCUUGAAAAACAAAAAGAAAAAAACCUCCAUGAAAUAACUACCAUUAGUGUUUCCAUUUGAUCUAGAGCAAGGAAGGCUCAUGAAAAGCAGCCGGGUUCUAGGUGUCAGAGUCAGGAUCCAAACCCAAUCCAGACAGGGCAGGUGGGGCAUGCUUGGAGACUGGGACAAGUGGAUCACCAAAAGUUCAAAGACGUUUUGGGUUAUAUUGGAAGAUACUGUCUAGAAUAAAUAAAUAAAUAAGCC
This 3203-nucleotide long non-coding RNA is filed under the name Mus musculus (house mouse). RNAcentral describes it as "predicted gene 10638". The record is from RNAcentral. Lineage: Eukaryota; Metazoa; Chordata; Mammalia; Rodentia; Muridae.